Molecule: long non-coding RNA, 1861 nt
Filed under: Homo sapiens (human)
Lineage: Eukaryota; Metazoa; Chordata; Mammalia; Primates; Hominidae
Description: HSALNT0387353
Source: RNAcentral
GCUCUAUUUGUGACUUAUCUAAAUUUAGCAGAUGUGUUACAAAGGCAAUUGGGAGAGAUGAAUCCGUCAGAACCUGAAGCCAUCUCUAAUUUGGAUCCAUGUUUGUCUCUCUCUCUCUGCAAAGGUGACAUGGAGAAUUCCCACCACCUUUCCCAUGGAAAAGCAGGCUCGGGAUGGGCUGUUAGUUUCUAUUCCCCAUAGGAGGUCCUCCAAGGUCCCGAAAAUCCAGUUUCCAUAAAGGCAGGAAGCAGAGGACAUGCCUGAACCCAAGAGGGAAGUCUUUUCCAGGCUCCUCGGGGGAUUGAGGAGUGCCAUGGCUCUCUGGCAGCUGUUGCAGUCUCCUGAGGCCAGGCCAGCCUGCCCUUCUGUGUCCUAAGGACUCAUCUCACCAUGCCUGGAAGGUCAUUUCCUUAUCCGACUUUAGGCAGAGCCAAAGAACUGAGCGCCAGCAGACUGCAGGGAAGCUGACUCCUGAGUUUUCAACACCCAGUAGUGACACAUGGCUUAGUUUCUACCAAAGAGCUCAUAAAAGGCAUCUGGUAACACUGUGAUGUGGCUAAAGAAGAAAGGGCAUUCCUGGAGUUGGACUGGGGAUUUUCUAGUCAGUGUUUCAGCAGCAGCAAAACAUAAUGGGAAUAGCCGUAGCAAGUGACUAUACGCUGGAUCCCAGUCCUGACUUUCCCCUGGACAAGGUGGGGGAGCCCAAGAGAGCCCCUCAAUGUCUCUGGAUCUCAGUGUCUUUGUCUGUGCAAUAAGAAGGUUAAACAAGCUAAGCUCCUCCAACAACGCUCAUGUGAAGUCCUAAUAAUUAUCUUCAGCCAACACUUGCUAUGUCGCAGUCGCUGGGCCAAAUACUUGACAUGAAUUAUCUCAUUUAUUGUCCACAGCCUCGCAAGCAGAAGAAUGCAAGCCAUGCCACAAAGCCAGCCAGCUAGAUUUCGCAGCGUCACUCACAGCUGUAUGUGGCAUAUGACCACAUUUGAGCAAAUGGGAUGCGAACAGUGUGAUGUAAGCAACAUUGGAGUCAUCUCUAAUGUAAAAGACAGAUGUUUGCCUCCAUGCGUGCACUGAAAAGCAGACAUACACAUGAGCCACCUUCAACCAUGCAGACAAGGACCAUGCCCAAGGUGACGUCUGAGCAACAGCUGGAAGGAAAAAGAUGGAAUGAUUACACAGGGCAAAGCCAGCCUGCCAGUCGGUGCCUCUCACCAAGGGACCAAAACAUGACAUAAAGGCUCAUCUUAUCAAGCCAUUGGAUUUGGGAGUCUCUUUGUUAUGGAAGCUUGGUCUUUCCCUAACCGACACAUAUGCUCCUUUCUUUGGGUAAAUUUUACUGUGUUCCUCUUCUCUGAAACCAAAAGAACCUUGAAUACCACACAGAUGGUAGUCCAAGAGGCUGCUUUGUGCUGAGAUACACGUCUUCACCUACAAAUAUUUAGUGAGUGCCUACUUUGUGCAAAUUACAUGAAAACAGAGACAUCAAGCUUAAAGAGGGCAACGGGUGUUACCAAAACCAUGUUGGAGCUAAUUCUGCAAAAUCAGACAGGCAAUCUGUCAUCAGAAUCCACACACCCUCUGCACCCCUGAGUGCUAUGGUCACUCUGUCAUGUAUCACAGACCCUGGCUUCUAGGAAGACUUCUUUCCAUUUCUUUAAAAUAAGGAAAAAUAUUUUGCCUGUGAAUAAGCCCAGUGCAAAGGCCCUGCACCCUAUCAUCUCUCCGUGCCUUGAGGAUACUUCUUACUCCUUCUGUAUGUGCUGGUGGCACCAUUAUACCCCUGCUCAUUCUCAUUGGCCAGUGCCUGUAUUGCACCUGUUGUUAAAUAUGUGUAAGAUCAUGUCUACCCCUAUCUCUUCCCUAC